RNAcentral lists this ribosomal RNA (460 nucleotides) under uncultured bacterium. RNAcentral describes it as "partial 16S ribosomal RNA". It matches the Rfam family "Bacterial small subunit ribosomal RNA", at positions 338 to 795 of the family's 1533-position model. The record is from RNAcentral.
CCUACGGGAGGCAGCAGUGAGGAAUAUUGGUCAAUGGGCUUACGCCUGAACCAGCCAAGUCGCGUGAGGGAAGACUGCCCUAUGGGUUGUAAACCUCUUUUGUCAGGGAGCAACGCCGGCUACGUGUAGCCGGACUGAGAGUACCUGAAGAAAAAGCAUCGGCUAACUCCGUGCCAGCAGCCGCGGUAAUACGGAGGAUGCGAGCGUUAUCCGGAUUUUUUGGGUUUAAAGGGUGCGUAGGCGGAAUGCCAAGUCAGCGGUAAAAUCGCGGGGCUCAACCUCGCUCCGCCGUUGAAACUGGCGUUCUUGAGUGGGCGAGAAGUAUGCGGAAUGCGUGGGGUAGCGGUGAAAUGCAUAGAUAUCACGCAGAACUCCGAUUGCGAAGGCAGCAUACCGGCGCUCAACUGACGCUCAUGCACGAAAGUGUGGGUAUCGAACAGGAUUAGAUACCCUAGUAGUC